Molecule: long non-coding RNA, 682 nt
Filed under: Olea europaea subsp. europaea
Lineage: Eukaryota; Viridiplantae; Streptophyta; Magnoliopsida; Lamiales; Oleaceae
Source: RNAcentral
CUGAUAUACAGCUAUAAAUGUUUUCUUCUGAAUGUCAUAUUCUAAUGCCACAAGAUAUUAUUGCGAUUAUAGUACAUCAUAUUAUUAGUGAAACAGAAAAACUCUACUUUCUUAAAACAAUUUUAUAACCCCUUGGAUUCCCGUCGUGACAGAAAAUUUUACGAACUUUAAUAUUAAAUCCAAGUCAUCCUGGUUGCACAAGAAUACUGGCCUCCAUUAUCUAACUGAAUUUAACUUUAUUAUUCUCAUCCCCACAAUUUUAGGGCAUCAGAGUUGUAGCGAUUCAAGAUUUCGUACAACAAAAACCAAAAGAAAAAGGAAGAGACAAUCUUUUCUUGAAGCAUGAAUUCUCCUUGGGGGAAAGAUGUUUUUAAACUAGAAGAUGAGAGUCCAACUUUGAAUAUUGAUUCGAACCAAGAAGCUAAAUCCUCCAAGGAUUUGGAAAGUACUGAAGAAAAGAUCCAAGAAUUCCUUGGGAAAUUUAUGGAGAAUAAUAAAGAAAAGCACUAUAUUGGUGUCAGAAAGCGACCAUGGGGUAAAUACGCAGCUGAGAUAAGGGAUUCCACAAGGAAUGGAACGAGGGUUUGGCUUGGGACUUUUAACAGCGCACAAGAAGCUGCUAUGGUUUAUGAUCAAGCUGCAUUUGUGAUGCGCGGAUCUACAGCUCCCCUAAAUUUUCCUU